Molecule: long non-coding RNA, 1176 nt
Filed under: Olea europaea (common olive)
Lineage: Eukaryota; Viridiplantae; Streptophyta; Magnoliopsida; Lamiales; Oleaceae
Description: long non-coding RNA (OEUR_LNC010353)
Source: RNAcentral
UCACGACAAAUAGGGCAUGGAACUUUUUCCUUGAUCGGCCAUCCAGAUAUAUUUUCAUAUGCAGGAAAAUCAUGUAUUGUUUACAUUAAAAUAGCUUUUAAAUUGAAUGUAGACUUCAUAACUGCAUUAUACGCUCAACCAUAUCACUCCAUAACAACAUUAUCUCAGCUACAGGUGGUGCCAAAUAAACAUCUAUGUUAUUACCAUGCUGCUUUGGUCCCGAAAUCAAUAAACUCAACGUUAAACUUUCCUUUAACAUGUAUAAUGAGGGAGGCAAGUUCUAUAUAGUUAAAAUUACUGACCAAUUAGAGCUAAGAUCUUUGAAAGGACUAUAUCUAUCAGUAGCAAGACGUAAUAAAAUAUUUCGAGGAUCUAGCGCAAAAUGUGACACCUUUUGUUAAUUGUUUCUCAACUCAAUAAAUCAACCGGAUGCCUAAUUUUGUCGUCUAAACAUUUAUUACUUAAGAACCAUCUAAGUUGUAAUGCCAUCUCAUCUAUUCCGAACAUUCUCUUAAGUCUUGGUAUUAUAAGAAAAUAACGAAAGACUUUUGCUGGAAUUUUAUUCUCAAUUUUUUAGCCCUUUGGUUAUCUUUCCAUCUUAAGGAACCACAUGUUUGUCAUACCUCAGCAUGUUCAAGUUUCUUUCUAUAUGGACAACAAUCAUUAUAGCAAGCAUGUAUCUUCUUAUAGCCAAGCACAAAUGUAUUGACAAUUUUUUUAGCCUAUAAAAUGAGUUCAGAAAUGUAUUAUUCUUUGGCAACAUGUCUCGAACAAGAUUUAUUAGUUCAUCUAAACCCCUGUCUCAUAAACCAUGUGAACUUUAUGCUUAAAUAUAGUAAGAGAAGCUAACAUCUUCGUAAGUGCCUUACAACCAGAUAUAAAGGAGUUUCAGUAUCAUCAAUUAAACAUUCGAGCUCUUUCUUUCUUCUCUCAAGAGAAUUUUCAGAAUCUACAUUAUGUUAUGCAUAGAAGUCCUUUAACUUCCUAUUUCACUCGAGCAUUUCUACAUCGACCAAAUUUGUUUCAUUUGAUUGUUCUCCAUGAAAUAUCAAGACGAUGUAUGCAUCAUCCAUACCCUUAAUAACUAAAUGUUCGUAGACUAUAUCAUAAUGGCGAUGCAUUAGAUUCCUACACUUAACACAAUGGCAUAUUAUCAUUUUUGAAUUACAAUUUUCA